AGCCAUGCAUGUGUAAGUAUAAAUAAUUCUACUUUGAAACUGCGAAUGGCUCAUUAUAUCAGUUAUAGUUUAUUAGAAAUAAUUUACUACUUGGAUAACCGUAGUAAUUCUAGGGCUAAUACAUGAGUAAAUCCUCGACUUUGAAGAGGUGUGUUUAUUAGUAUGAAAACCAUAUGCUUCGGCAUGAUAGUGAGUAAUAAUAACCUUUCAUAUCGUAUGUUGUAAUAACGAUAGUUCUUUCAAGUUUCUGCCCUAUCAGCUUUCGAUGGUAGUGCAUUGGACUACCAUGGCAGUAACGGGUAACGAAGAAUUUGGGUUCGAUUUCGGAGAGGGAGCCUGAGAGAUGGCUACCACAUCCAAGGAAGGCAGCAGGCGCGUAAAUUACCCAAUCCUGACAUAGGGAGGUAGUGACAAUAAAUCACAAUGCGGGACUUUUAGUUUUGCAAUUGGAUUGAGAACAAUGUAAAAGAGUUAUCGAUAAACAAUUGGAGGGCAAGUCUGGUGCCAGCAGCCGCGGUAA
This 520-nucleotide ribosomal RNA is filed under the name Blastocystis sp. subtype 14. RNAcentral describes it as "SSU rRNA". It matches the Rfam family "Eukaryotic small subunit ribosomal RNA", at positions 47 to 582 of the family's 1831-position model. The record is from RNAcentral. Lineage: Eukaryota; Bigyra; Opalinata; Blastocystidae.